AAUAAACGCUGGUGGCAUGCUUUAUACAUGCAAGUCGAGCGAAGACUAGAUUUGUAGUAGAAAUGAUUAAUUUUCACUUUGUGGAGAUUAUGAGUUUUUGCUAUUCCUGGUCUUAGCGGCGAACGGGUGAGUAACGCGUGAAUAAUCUGCCCUUGAAAUCGGGAUACCAUUCCGAAAGGAAUGCUAAUACCGAAUAACGUUAUGAAACGUAGGUUUUAUAACCAAAGUUGAAUCUUUGGAUUCUGCGUUCAAGGAUGAGUUCGCGUCCUAUUAGCUAGUUGGUGAGGUAAAGGCUCACCAAGGCUAUGGUGGGUAGCCGGCCUGAGAGGGCGUACGGCCACAUUGGGACUGAGACACGGCCCAGACUCCUACGGGAGGCAGCAGUAGGGAAUCUUCCGCAAUGGGCGAAAGCCUGACGGAGCGAUGCCACGUGGAUGACGGAGGCCUUCGGGUCGUAAAAUCCUGUCAGGAGGGACGAUGGUCAAUUUUCGGAUUGAUUGACGGUACCCCCAGAGGAAGCUCCGGCCAACUACGUGCCAGCAGCCGCGGUAAUACGUAGGGAGCAAGCGUUGUUCGGAUUUACUGGGCGUAAAGAGUGCGUAGGUGGCUAUACAAGUCAAGGGUGAAAUCUCUACUUUCAAGGUAGAAACUGCCUUUGAUACUGUAUGGCUAGAGGACAAGAGGGGGAAAUGGAACUCUGGGAGUAGCGGUGAAAUGCGUAGAUAUCCAGAGGAACGCCAGUAGCGAAGGCGGUUUCCUGGCUUGUUUCUGACACUGAGGCACCAAAGCUAGGGGAGCGAUCGGGAUUAGAGACCCCGGUAGUCCCAGCCCUAAACGAUGGGUACUAGGUGUGGGGGGAGCACUACCCUCUGUGCCAAAGCUAACGCGUUAAGUACCCCGCCUGGGGAGUACGGUCGCAAGACUG
This 925-nucleotide ribosomal RNA is filed under the name uncultured Chloroflexota bacterium. Its description in RNAcentral is "bacterial SSU rRNA". It matches the Rfam family "Bacterial small subunit ribosomal RNA", at positions 28 to 896 of the family's 1533-position model. The record is from RNAcentral. Lineage: Bacteria; Bacillati; Chloroflexota.